This 286-nucleotide long non-coding RNA is filed under the name Olea europaea subsp. europaea. Lineage: Eukaryota; Viridiplantae; Streptophyta; Magnoliopsida; Lamiales; Oleaceae. The record is from RNAcentral.
CUAACAUAUCCCGUUUAUUUUCUUUCUAAAAAGUUCCAGUUAGAAAGCUUACCUUUGGACCAAUAGGCAUCCCAUCACGUUCAUCUAAAAAAUGUAAAAAGAGCGAGCGCCAUGUGGUAAGAUAAAUUUGAUAAAUUUACAAUUACAAAAGAACAAGGUCCAUAUACUUACGUGAUUCUGCAAUUUCCUUAUCAUUUUCAUAACUUAUGGGUGUACCAGGUUUCCUAGGUGAAUUGCUAGCAUAAGUACUGGUGUAAUAAUUUAUGCCUAAAAAAUCAUAUGAUCC